This 248-nucleotide ribosomal RNA is filed under the name uncultured Bacteriovoracaceae bacterium. RNAcentral's name for it is "partial 16S ribosomal RNA". It matches the Rfam family "Bacterial small subunit ribosomal RNA", at positions 356 to 596 of the family's 1533-position model. The record is from RNAcentral. Lineage: Bacteria; Pseudomonadati; Bdellovibrionota; Bacteriovoracia; Bacteriovoracales; Bacteriovoracaceae.
AGGGAAUAUUGCGCAAUGGGGGAAACCCUGACGCAGCAACGCCGCGUGAGUGAGGAAGGUCUUCGGAUUGUAAAACUCUUUUAUCAGGGAAAAAUGGUCAUGGAGCUAAUACCCCAUGAUUUGAUGGUACCUGAGGAAUAAGCACCGGCUAACUUCGUGCCAGCAGCCGCGGUAAUACGAAGGGUGCAAGCGUUGUUCGGAAUCAUUGGGCGUAAAGCGCGCGCAGGCGGAUCAGCAAGUCAGAUGUG